UCCGGUUUAUCACCGGCAGUCCCCCAUGAGUCCCCGACAUUACUCGCUGGCAACAUAGGGCAAGGGUUGCGCUCGUUGCGGGACUUAACCCAACAUCUCACGACACGAGCUGACGACAGCCAUGCAGCACCUGUCCUAGAGUCCCGAAGGAGGGCUCCUGUUUCCAGGGGCUUUCACGUGCAUGUCAAGCCCAGGUAAGGUGGGGAUGACGUCUGUCAGUCAA
RNAcentral lists this unclassified non-coding RNA (223 nucleotides) under uncultured Gemmatimonadota bacterium. Its description in RNAcentral is "uncultured Gemmatimonadetes bacterium contains 16S-23S intergenic spacer region". Lineage: Bacteria; Pseudomonadati; Gemmatimonadota. The record is from RNAcentral.